AACGAACGCUGGCGGCAGGCUUAACACAUGCCAGUCGAACGCCCCGCCAGGGGAGUGGCAGACGGGUGAGUAACGCGUGGGAACAUACCCUUUCCUGCGGAAUAGCUCCGGGAAACUGGAAUUAAUACCGCAUACGCCCUACGGGGGAAAGAUUUAUCGGGGAAGGAUUGGCCCGCGUUGGAUUAGCUAGUUGGUGGGGUAAAGGCCUACCAAGGCGACGAUCCAUAGCUGGUCUGAGAGGAUGAUCAGCCACAUUGGGACUGAGACACGGCCCAAACUCCUACGGGAGGCAGCAGUGGGGAAUAUUGGACAAUGGGCGCAAGCCUGAUCCAGCCAUGCCGCGUGAGUGAUGAAGGCCUUAGGGUUGUAAAGCUCUUUCACCGAUGAAGAUAAUGACGGUAGUCGGAGAAGAAGCCCCGGCUAACUUCGUG
RNAcentral lists this ribosomal RNA (431 nucleotides) under uncultured bacterium. Its description in RNAcentral is "partial 16S ribosomal RNA". It matches the Rfam family "Bacterial small subunit ribosomal RNA", at positions 29 to 507 of the family's 1533-position model. The record is from RNAcentral.